This 303-nucleotide ribosomal RNA is filed under the name uncultured bacterium. RNAcentral's name for it is "partial 16S ribosomal RNA". It matches the Rfam family "Bacterial small subunit ribosomal RNA", at positions 507 to 807 of the family's 1533-position model. The record is from RNAcentral.
AGCAGUAGCCACGGGAAUACAGAGGGUGCGAGCGUUAAUCGGAUUUACUGGGCGUAAAGCGUGCGUAGGCGGCUUUUUAAGUCGGAUGUGAAAUCCCUGAGCUUAACUUAGGAAUUGCAUUCGAUACUGGGAAGCUAGAGUAUGGGAGAGGAUGGUAGAAUUUCAGGUGUAGCGGUGAAAUGCGUAGAGAUCUGGAGGAAUACCGAUGGCGAAGGCAGCCAUCUGGCCUAAUACUGACGCUGAGGUACGAAAGCAUGGGGAGCAAACAGGAUUAGAUACCCCGGUAGUCCCUGUCUCUUAUAC